AAUAUUGGACAAUGGGCGAAAGCCUGAUCCAGCCAUGCCGCGUGUGUGAAGAAGGUCUUCGGAUUGUAAAGCACUUUAAGUUGGGAGGAAGGGCCGCAGGUUAAUACCUUGCUGCUUUCACGUUACCGACAGUAUAAGAACCGGCUAACACCGUGCCAGCAGCCGCCGUAAUAGGAAGGGUGCAAGCGGUAAAGUGCAUUACUGGGCGUAAAGGGGGCGUAGGUGGUUUGUUAAGUUGGAAGUGAAAGCCCCGGGCUCAACCGGGGAACUGCUUUCAAAACUGGCAAGCUGGAGUAUGGCAGAGGGUGGUGGAAUUUCCUGUGUAGCGGUGAAAUGCGUAGAUAUAGGAAGGAACACCAGUGGCGAAGGCGACCACCUGGGCUAAUACUGACACUGAGGUGCGAAAGCGUGGGGAGCAAAC
RNAcentral lists this ribosomal RNA (421 nucleotides) under uncultured bacterium. RNAcentral's name for it is "partial 16S ribosomal RNA". It matches the Rfam family "Bacterial small subunit ribosomal RNA", at positions 360 to 773 of the family's 1533-position model. The record is from RNAcentral.